This 500-nucleotide ribosomal RNA is filed under the name uncultured bacterium. Its description in RNAcentral is "partial 16S ribosomal RNA". It matches the Rfam family "Bacterial small subunit ribosomal RNA", at positions 30 to 523 of the family's 1533-position model. The record is from RNAcentral.
AUUGAACGCUGGCGGAAUGCUUUACACAUGCAAGUCGAACGGCAGCACGGACUUCGGUCUGGUGGCGAGUGGCGAACGGGUGAGUAAUGUAUCGGAACGUGCCCAGUCGUGGGGGAUAACGUAGUGAAAAUUACGCUAAUACCGCAUACGAUCUAUGGAUGAAAGCGGGGGAUCGCAAGACCUCGCGCGAUUGGAGCGGCCGAUAUCAGAUUAGGUAGUUGGUGGGGUAAAGGCCCACCAAGCCAACGAUCUGUAGCUGGUCUGAGAGGACGACCAGCCAAACUGGAACGAAGACACGGCAAAGACUCCUACGGGAGGCAGCAGUGGGGAAUUUUGGACAAUGGGCGAAAGCCUGAUCCAGCCAUUCCGCGUGCAGGAUGAAGGCCCUCGGGUUGUAAACUGCUUUUGUACAGAACGAAAAGGUUUCUACUAAUACUAGGAGCUCAUGACGGUACUGUAAGAAUAAGCACCGGCUAACUACGUGCCAGCAGCCGCCGUAA